RNAcentral lists this ribosomal RNA (377 nucleotides) under uncultured bacterium. RNAcentral describes it as "bacterial SSU rRNA". It matches the Rfam family "Bacterial small subunit ribosomal RNA", at positions 30 to 409 of the family's 1533-position model. The record is from RNAcentral.
AUUGAACGCUGGCGGCAUGCCUUACACAUGCAAGUCGAACGGCAGCGCGGGGCAACCUGGCGGCGAGUGGCGAACGGGUGAGUAAUAUAUCGGAACAUACCCUAGAGUGGGGAUAACGUAGCGAAGUUACGCUAAUACCGCAUACGCACUAAGGUGGAAAGUGGGGGAGUCUUCGGACCUCAUGCUCAUGGAGUGGCCGAUAUCUGAUUAGCUAGUUGGUGAGGUAAAGGCUCACCAAGGCGACGAUCUGUAGCUGGUCUGAGAGGACGACCAGCCACACUGGGACUGAGACACGGCCCAGACUCCUACGGGAGGCAGCAGUGGGGAAUUUUGGACAAUGGGGGCGAACCCUGAUCCAGCCAUGCCGCGUGCGGGAA